CCAGACACAGGGAUUGCCUCAGUAACGGCGAGUGAAGCGGCAAAAGCUCAAAUUUGAAAUCCUCUUUUUGAGGAAUUGUAAUUUGAAGAUUGUGUUUUGGAGACGACCGUGUCUAUGUUCCUUGGAACAGGACGUCACAGAGGGUGAGAAUCCCGUGCGGCACGGCCCCCGUCUCCUUAUAAAGCACUCUCGACGAGUCGAGUUGUUUGGGAAUGCAGCUCAAAGUGGGUGGUAAAUUCCAUCUAAAGCUAAAUACAGGCGAGAGACCGAUAGCGAACAAGUACAGUGAUGGAAAGAUGAAAAGCACUUUGAAAAGAGAGUGAAACAGUACGUGAAAUUGUUGAAAGGGAAGGGUAUGCCGUCAGAUUGUCAGUGUGGGUAAGAAGUGGAGUAAAAAGACUGUGGAAUGUGGCCCUCGGGUGUUAUAGCCAUAGUUCAUGCUCCAUUUCUUUCCGAGGCCUGCUUUUAGGACACCGACGUAAUGACGGUACACCGCCCGUCUUGAAACACGGACCAAGGAGUCUAACGUCUAUGCGAGUGUGUGGGUGUAA
Molecule: ribosomal RNA, 551 nt
Filed under: Kodamaea anthophila
Lineage: Eukaryota; Fungi; Ascomycota; Pichiomycetes; Serinales; Debaryomycetaceae
Description: LSU rRNA
Rfam family: Eukaryotic large subunit ribosomal RNA
Source: RNAcentral